GGGCCAGUGUGGUACAGUGGUUUGAGCAUUGGACUACAACUCGGGGAGACCAGGGUUCAAAUCCCUGCUGGGCCA
Phrynosoma platyrhinos (Desert horned lizard) is the source of this 75-nucleotide non-coding RNA. Lineage: Eukaryota; Metazoa; Chordata; Lepidosauria; Squamata; Phrynosomatidae. The record is from the annotation of a GenBank genome assembly.